Aspergillus ruber CBS 135680 is the source of this 193-nucleotide small nuclear RNA. It matches the Rfam family "U2 spliceosomal RNA". Rfam says of the family: U2 is a small nuclear RNA (snRNA) component of the spliceosome (involved in pre-mRNA splicing). The record is from Rfam. NCBI's taxonomy places the organism in Eukaryota, Fungi, Ascomycota, Eurotiomycetes, Eurotiales, Aspergillaceae.
CCAGCUCUCUUUGCCUUUUGGCUUAGAUCAAGUGUAGUAUCUGUUCUUUUCAGUUUAAUCUCUGAAAGUGUUCUAAGGAACACAACAUUGAUUAAUCUUAUUUUUGGUCUCCGUGGCUGGACCUCUGUGCUUGCGCAUGUCUGGCUACACAGUGUCAUCGGGCUUACACUACCCCCGAUAGACGCGAACCCCC